UACGUAGGGUGCGAGCGUUAAUCGGAAUUACUGGGCGUAAACCGUGCGCAGGCGGUUUUGUAAGCCAGAUGUGAAAGCCCCGGGCUUAACCUGGGAAUGGCAUUUGGGACUGCAAGGCUUGAGUGCGGCAGAGGAGACUGGAAUUCCUGGUGUAGCAGUGAAAUGCGUAGAUAUCAGGAGGAAUACCGAUGGCGAAGGCAGGUCUCUGGGCUGACACUGACGCUCAUGCACGAAAGCGUGGGGAGCAAACAGG
RNAcentral lists this ribosomal RNA (253 nucleotides) under uncultured bacterium. RNAcentral's name for it is "partial 16S ribosomal RNA". It matches the Rfam family "Bacterial small subunit ribosomal RNA", at positions 524 to 776 of the family's 1533-position model. The record is from RNAcentral.